UUGGAGAAUGAAGCAAAGCGGGAGGAGAAAGAUUGCUUACCUGAUCUGCUGGAGGCGAUGAAGACGACGGUGAAGUUGAUGCUGGGACGAAGGCAAUGGCAGAGCCAAUACUCGUCUCUGUGUUGCUCCUCUCCCUUUCUUUCCUUCUUUUCUCUGUAUAUUUGCUUUUCUUUUGCUCUAUUUUUGCUCUGUUUUCUUCUCUUUCGGCUCGUGAUCUGCCCCUUACUUCUCCCGCUCGUCCUCCUCCCUUUUUUUUUUUGCGAGGUUGCCUUUACCCGGCUUUUAUAGAGCCAAAGAUCGAUCGGCGCUGGUAACGGCCGGCAGUAAUGGCCGUGGGGCGCUGCAUUCAAUGGAGAAACGUCUCUGCCUUUAAUGCUAGAGUCGUUGCCGGGGAAGAAGACGACGAACAGUCGCUUGCCAAAACGACUCCGUUUUCCAAUUCCAAAGGCUGCUUUCAAUUUGGUCCUUUGAAUUCUUGUAAUCUUGCAAUCAAGCCCCUGGUUAAAAUGUAAUUGGAUACUUGCAUUUCGGUGCCUUUUACAAGCUAGUCCUUGGACUUCAA
This is a long non-coding RNA of Populus trichocarpa (black cottonwood), 562 nucleotides long. RefSeq lists it as uncharacterized. Lineage: Eukaryota; Viridiplantae; Streptophyta; Magnoliopsida; Malpighiales; Salicaceae. The record is from RefSeq and is a predicted model, not a curated record. The transcript has 2 exons.